AGUUUGGAGACAUCUGGGUGGGGUUUGGAGACAUCUCAGAGGGGUUUGGGGACAUCUCAGGUUCCUGGUGGUCUCCAUGGGUUCCUGGUGGGAUUUUUGGGGUUCCUGGAGAUGUUUCGGGUUCCCGAUGAUCUCCAUGGGUUCCUGGUGGGAUUUUUGGGGUUUCUGGAGAUGUAUUUUGAGUUCUUGAUGGUCUCCAUGGGGUUCCUGAUGGUCUCCAUGGGGUUUUGGAGUUGGUUUUGGGUUCCUGGUGGUCUCCAUGGGUUCCUGGUGGGAUUUUUGAGAUUUCUGGAGAUGUUUUGGGUUCCUGAUGAUCUCCGUGGAGUUCCUGGAGAUGUUUUGGGUUCCUGGUGGUUUCCAUGGGUUCCCAGGAGGAGUUUUGGGAUUCCUGGUGGUCUCCAUGGGGUUCCUGGUGGUCACCGUGGGGUUCCUGAUGAUCUCCAUGGGUUCCUGAUGGGAUUUUUGGAGAUUCUGGAGAUGUUUCGGGUUCCUGGUGGUCUCCACGGGUUCCUGGUGUUCUCCAUGGAUUCCCAGGAGGAGUUUUGGGUUCCUGGUGAUCUCCAUGGGUUCCUGGUGGGAUUUUUGGGGUUCCUGGAGAUGUUUUGGGUUCCUGGUGGUCUCCAUGGGGUUCCUGGUGGGAUUUUUGGGGUUCCUGAAGAUGUUUUUUGGGUUCCUGGUGGUCACCAUGGGGUUCCUGGUGGGAUUUUUGGGGUUUCUGGAGAUGUAUUUUGAGUUCUUGAUGAUCUCCAUGGGGUUCUUGGUGGUCUCCAUGAGGUUUUGGGUUCCUGGUGGUCACCAUGGGUUCCUGGUGGCAUUUUUGGAGAUUCUGGAGAUGUUUUGGGUUCCUGGUGGUCUCCAUGGGGUUUCUGGAGAUGCUUUUUGGGUUCCUGGUGGUCACCAUGGGGUUCCUGGUGAUCUCAAUGGGAUUUUGGAGUUGGUUUUGGGUUCCUGGUGGUCUCCAUGGGUUCCUGGUGGGAUUUUUGGAGAUCCUGGAGAUGUUUUGGGUUCCUGGUGAUCUCCAUGGAUUCCUGGUGGGAUUUUUGGAGAUCCUGGAGAUGUUUUGGGUUCCUGGUGGUCACCAUAGGGUUCCUGGUGGUCUCCAUGGGUUCCCGGUGGUCUCUGUGGGGUUCCUGGAGCUGUUUUGGGUUCCUGGUGUUCCCCUCGGGUUCCCGGUGUCAUUUCUGCCCCCAUGGCCAUCUCCAACCCUGGUUUCUGGGUGGUGUGUCCUCUCCAGCGGCCUUCAUCCGCGUGGUGGGCUCGGAGUUCGUGCAGAAGUACCUGGGCGAGGGCCCGCGCAUGGUGCGCGACGUUUUCCGCCUGGCCAAGGAGAACGCGCCGGCCAUCAUCUUCAUCGACGAGAUCGACGCCAUCGCCACCAAGCGCUUCGACGCCCAGACCGGCGCCGACCGCGAGGUCCAACGGAUCCUCCUGGAGCUCCUGAACCAGAUGGACGGCUUCGACCAGAACGUCAACGUCAAGGAGAUCAUGGCCACCAACCGUGAGGACACCUGGACGAGGAACUAUUGGGGUUUUUUGAGGUUUUAUGGAGUCUGUAUGGAUCUUUAUGAGGUUCUGUGAGGUUUUGGAGAUCUCAGGUGUCCUCACUUGUUCCCAGGAGAUGAUGGCCACCAACCGUGAGGACACCUGGACCAGGAACUAUGGGGGAUUUUUGGGGUUUUAUGAGGUUUUAUGGAGUCUGUGUGGGAUUUUAUGGAUUUUUAUGGAGUUUUGAGGAUCUCAGGUGUCCUCACCUGUCUCCAGGAGAUGAUGGCCACCAACCAUGAGGACACCUGGACCAGCAAUUUCAGGGUUUUAUGAGGUUUUAUGGAGUCUGUGUGGAUCUUUAUGAGGUUCUAUGGGAUUUUGGAGAUCUCAGGUGUCCUCACCUGUCACGUGCUCGCAGGAGAUCAUGGCCACCAACCCUGAGGACACCUGAGCCAGCAAUUUCAGGGUUUUAUGAGGUUUUAUGGAGUCUGUAUGGAUCUUUAUGAGGUUCUAUGGGAUUUUGGAGAUCUCAGGUGUCCUCACUUGUUCCCAGGAGAUGGUGGCCACCAACCAGGAGAACACGUGGACUAUAAAGUAUUGGGGUUUUUUGAGGUUUUAUGGAGUCUGUGUGGAUCUUUAUGAGGUUCUAUGGGGUUUUGAUGAUCUCAGGUGUCCCCUGUCUUCAGGAGAUCAUGGCCACCAACCAGGAGGACACCUGGACCAUGAACUAUGGGGGUUUUGUUGGGUUUUUUGAGGUUUUAUGGAGUCUGUGUGGAUCUUUAUGAGGUUCUAUGGGAUUUUGGAGAUCUCAGGUGUCCUCACUUGUUCCCAGGAGAUGAUGGCCACCAACCAUGGGCACACCUGGACCAGCAAUUUCAGGGUUUUAUGAGGUUUUAUGGAGUCUGNGGACACCUGGGUGGGGUGGGGGAGCUCCUGGGUGGACCUCUGGUGGUCCUGGGUGGAGUUUGGGUGGUCCUGGGUGGAGUUUGGGUGGUUUUGGGUGGGUUUUUGGGGUGA
Zonotrichia albicollis (white-throated sparrow) is the source of this 2502-nucleotide long non-coding RNA. The record is from Ensembl. Lineage: Eukaryota; Metazoa; Chordata; Aves; Passeriformes; Passerellidae.